GACCAUAACACUCUAUAUUUUUCAUAAAUACAGUCUUACCCCUAGAUGUACUAUAAUGUAGGUCUGUCUAAUUUGUUGUGUGAUUCAACUCGAAACAGAGCUUCUCUUGAAGUUUCUUCCUUUUAUCUCUGUUUUCUUUGGGUUGAUUAAUAAAUCGGCUUGUCCGAGUGUAAUAGUGUCGCCCCUUCCGCAAAUCAUUCAUAUCCCGUGUUAAUGGAGUUUAGUUUCUCAGAUGUAAAGGAUGGUUGCGUUUUUGGAUUCUCUCUCUCUCUCUCUCUCUCUCUCUCUCUCUCUCUUACUGAUUUGUUUGUUUUGGGAUUGGAGGAGGCAAAGCGUGCGUCCAUGGAGAUGGGAGACAUAUGUAAUGUGGUUGUCGUGAGCAAGAGGACACGUCUCGAGCUCGCAUCCGUCUCGACCCAUCGUCACCGGUCUCGAGCUUGCCACGUCACCACCGGUUUCGAGCUUGCCCCUGUCACCACCGGUCUCGAACUCGUCCCCGUCGUCAUCGGUAUCUGGUGCUGGGGAUGGAGACAGAACAGAGGAAGACAUCGAGAAGAAAGGCAAAGGAGGAAAGAGGAGGCGGCUCAUUGGAUUAUUGUGUCUUGAUAGUUGCAUCUUUAAGAAUAUUCAUCUUAAUUUAGCCUCUACUACCUACACUGCUUCAAAAAACCAGCUUCCAAAAAACUAGCUUUCCUAAACGUCACAGAGGAUUGUUAUGUCAUUUCUCAUAUUACAAGCUACUACAUCUGCAAAUACUUUUGAAUACCAACCGAUCACCUAAUUACCAUCCUCAUUUUGUAUAUACACCUAAAUGACCCUAAAAUUAUAUCAUUUUAGUGUAAUUUCAUCACUAAGAAAAAAGUUCAUCUCCAACCACAACAUCAAACUUAACAUUAAAAACUAUUUUAUAAUAUUAUAUAUAUUUAUGUUUUUAUUUGUCAUUUAUUUAAUUGAGUAUUUUAUUAAUAAAAUAAAUAGAUAAUGUUUUAUUGAGGUGAAUAGUGUUUUAGUGUGGUGAAUAGUGGUGUUGGUGUGAAAUUAUAGCGUAACACUAAAAUGGCGUGAAUUUUAGUGUUGGGUUGGAAAAUGUUUUUGUGUCAAAAUUACACUAAAUUAGAGUUCUAGUGUUGGGUUGGAGAUGGCCUACGACUUACCAAAAAUGUAUGGUGUCGACUAUUGAUGACAUGUUUCUUCUGAAAACUUAUCUUUUGAUUCCGAAUCACCAAAAUUUUAUAUCCGGCUAGAUAAAAACGUAUAAUCUCUCAAAAAUAACUAAGUCAAUAAAUAAAGCUUAACAUGAUGACCAAUUUUCUAUAAUAAUUUUAUGAAGGAAUGGUGAGGUUUGAAGUGAGAAGAUUGGCUCUGAUGUUAAGGUUCAAAAUCUGAAUAUACCAAGGUGAGAGCAUUUUUGUUCACUAUAAUUGUUUUUUGUUUAACUUAAGGUAAUCCGAGUCUAUGGAAGAAUUCAGAUUCAGUAGAUAUAUCAAACUUGAAAGUGUUAGCAUCCCAAACAUGUAUUCUUACCACUCGGCUACAAGUGUCAAGGUCCCAGACAAUAUACCAAAGUGAGAACAAUUUUAUAAUAUAUUGUUGGUGAAAAGGAUAAAUCUAUGGUAGUAAAGUUGUUAGAAAACAAAAUUUCUUGUUUGAAACAAAUAUAACAAAACGUUGAUAUUAUAACCAUACAUGUUUUAAAUCCAAAACGAUUUUAAGAUUGAAUUAAAUCAAAAUUAGGAGAUAAACAAAAACAAGAUGAGGAAAUUUAUUUCUUGAGAAUUAUUGAAAAUGCAUGCAGCAAACCAUAGAUAACAUGUUACUUAUAAAAUCUUAUAAUUUGAUUUUUCUUAAACAAAACGUUGUAUUUGGUAAGACAACCAAAGAUGAUAAUUGUGACAGUAGGUAGAAGACUUUGAAGAGAUCUUGUUCAUAUUGUAAAAAUAGCGUCAAGGAGCAAACAAUACAACUUGAGUGGUACCAAACUCAAAAAAAAAAGAGCUCUGUAAAAGAUUGAAACGAAGAGAAUAUGAACAUGUUUCUACAAAAAAGCAAUGAAAGAACACCGACAAACAUGGAGUUCCAUAAGAUCUAUGGCGAGUGACAUAACUAAAGGUGUUAGCAACAAUAGCACUGUCGAUUCAAAAUAACUCCGACGUUGUCAGUUAUGCUAUGUCAUAGAUCCCACAAGAACUAGAGACUUAAACAAAAACACAUCUAAUCUAUUAAGGGAGGCCUAUUGAAAAUAGAAUUUGUGUGGAGUUUAAAAAUUUUAAGAGUUAAUAGAUUUUUAAAAAUUAAGUAGAUUUGAUGAAUUCUUACCCAAUGUAUUGUAUACGUUGUCAUUAAUUAUUAUAGCUUUUCAUAUAUACUUUUCUUUCCAAACUUAUCUUUCUAUUAUUUAAAAAAAAAAAUUCUUUCAUAAAAUAGAACUAUUUGAAAAUUAAAUAAAAAUUUUGGUUUUUUAAUAUUUUGACAUUUUGAUUUGUCUUGUUUGAUUUUUGUUUUAAUGUUUUUAAGAUCAACCUAUGAAUUUUCUCAUGAUUUUAUUUUAAUAUCAAAUAGUUAUAUUUCAUGAAAUAUUUUUUUUUUAAAUUGUUAUUUUUAAUAAUUUCUUUUAUCUUUAGUUUUGUUUUUACAAUUAUCUUUGACUUGACAAUAAAAAUGUAA
This is a long non-coding RNA of Brassica rapa (field mustard), 2664 nucleotides long. RefSeq lists it as uncharacterized. The record is from RefSeq and is a predicted model, not a curated record. Lineage: Eukaryota; Viridiplantae; Streptophyta; Magnoliopsida; Brassicales; Brassicaceae.